GGGGGUUUUGCAUCGAGACCUCCCCAAAAAACUCCUUUUUAAAUCCUUAAAAACCUCCUAAAAUGCGACAAAAUGAGGGGAAAAAAUGAGGGGGAAAAAGGAAUAAAAAAGGGAAUUUGAGGUUCAGAUUGAAAAACCUCCCCAAAAAACCAUCUUUUAAUAACAUGAAAUCUCUCCCCCCACACAAAAAAACCCCCAACUUUAAAUCCUUAAAAACUCCUAAAAUGCAGCGAAAUGACCCCAAAAACGGGGGGGAAAAGUGGGAAAAAUAAGAAAUAAAGAGAAUUAUGGAGAAUAAAAAGCAGAUUUAAGAGUUUUGGGGGAUUUUUGGGUGAUUUUAGGGCUGUUUCAGACGACCAUCUCCAGCUGCCCGCCCUGGGUGUCUCUGGGCUGGUUUUAAGUUAAUUUUGAGGUCAUUUUGGGGUAAUUUUGGGUGAUUUUAAUGCCAUUUCAGACGAUCAUCUCCAGCUGCCCGCCCUGGGUGUUUCUGGGCUGGUUUUAAGUUAAUUUUGAGGUCAUUUUGGGGUGAUUUUGGGUGAUUUUAGAGCCAUUUCAGACGAUCAUCUCCAGCUGCCCGCCCUGGGUGUUUCUGGGCUGGUUUUAAGUUAAUUUUGAGGUCAUUUUGGGGUAAUUUUGGGUGAUUUUAGAUGCCAUUUCAGACGAUCAUCUCCAGCUGCCCGCCCUGGGUGUCUCUGGGCUGGUUCUGGGUUAAUUUUGGGUGAUUUUGGGUGUUUUUAGAGCCAUUUCAGACGAUCAUCUCCAGCUGCCCGCCCUGGGUGUUUCUGGGCUGGUUUUAAGUUAAUUUUGAGGUCAUUUUGGGGUAAUUUUGGGUGAUUUUAGAGCCAUUUCAGACGAUCAUCUCCAGCUGCCCACCCUGGGUGUCUCUGGGCUGGUUUUAAGUUAAUUUUGAGGUCAUUUUGGGGUGAUUUUGGGUGAUUUUAGAGCCAUUUCAGACGAUCAUCUUCAGCUGCCCGCCCUGGGUGUCUCUGGGCUGGUUCUGGGCUGAUUUUGGGGUAUUUUGGGGUAAUUUUGGGUGGUUUUUGGGUGAUUUUAAAGCCAUUUCAGACGAUCAUCUCCAGCUGGCGGGCGUACUCGAUGACCUGGGUGGCCAGUUCGGUGGAGGGGAUGGGGGGGUCCUCGGUUUUCUGCUGCCUCCCCCCAAAGCUGUAGUAGUUGGAGGGGCCCAGCACCCACCCCCGCUGGGGAAAGGGAAAAAAAAGGUGUUAA
Long non-coding RNA from Myiozetetes cayanensis, 1227 nucleotides. RefSeq lists it as uncharacterized. The record is from RefSeq and is a predicted model, not a curated record. Lineage: Eukaryota; Metazoa; Chordata; Aves; Passeriformes; Tyrannidae. The transcript is spliced from 3 exons.